AGUGAACGGCUGGCGGCAGGCCUAAUACAUGCAAGUCGAACGGCAGCACAGCAGAGCUUGCUCUGUGGGUGGCGAGUGGCGGACGGGUGAGGAAUACAUGGGAAUCUGCCCAGUCGUGGGGGAUAACGUAUGGAAACGUACGCUAAUACCGCAUGCGCCCUACGGGGGAAAGCCGGGGACCGCAAGGCCUGGCGCGAUUGGAUGAGCCCAUGUUCGAUUAGCUAGUUGGCGGGGUAAAGGCCCACCAAGGCGACGAUCGAUAGCUGGUCUGAGAGGAUGAUCAGCCACACUGGAACUGAGACACGGUCCAGACUCCUACGGGAGGCAGCAGUAGGGAAUAUUGGACAAUGGGGGCAACCCUGAUCCAGCCAUGCCGCGUGAGUGAAGAAGGCCCUCGGGUUGUAAAGCUCUUUUGUCCGGAAAGAAAAGCAUCUGGUUAAUACCCGGGUGUUCUGACGGUACCGGAAGAAUAAGCACCGGCUAACUUCGUG
This 491-nucleotide ribosomal RNA is filed under the name uncultured bacterium. RNAcentral describes it as "bacterial SSU rRNA". It matches the Rfam family "Bacterial small subunit ribosomal RNA", at positions 35 to 507 of the family's 1533-position model. The record is from RNAcentral.